This 275-nucleotide unclassified non-coding RNA is filed under the name Inocybe sp. Its description in RNAcentral is "partial contains 5.8S ribosomal RNA, internal transcribed spacer 2, and large subunit ribosomal RNA". The stretch from base 1 to 52 matches the Rfam family "5.8S ribosomal RNA", at positions 103 to 154 of the family's 154-position model. The record is from RNAcentral. RNAcentral also lists the same sequence under 1 other name. Lineage: Eukaryota; Fungi; Basidiomycota; Agaricomycetes; Agaricales; Inocybaceae.
AACGCAUCUUGCGCUCCUUGGUAUUCCGAGGAGCAUGCCUGUUUGAGUGUCAUUUAACUUCUCUCAACUGCAUCACUCAGUCUGAUGUGGCUUGGACGUGGGGCUUGCAGGCUUUGAAUGAAGUCUGCUCCCCUGAAAUGAAUUAGUGGUAUCUGAGCUGCCAAUAGGUGUGAUAAUUAUUUACUCCUUUUGGUCAUGCUGGUUGUGCUGCUUCUAACAAACACUUGUUUGACAAAUUUGACCUCAAAUCAGGUAGGACUACCCGCUGAACUUAA